Molecule: transfer RNA, 68 nt
Filed under: Marmota monax (woodchuck)
Lineage: Eukaryota; Metazoa; Chordata; Mammalia; Rodentia; Sciuridae
Description: tRNA.Ala
Rfam family: tRNA (bases 5-65)
About the family: Transfer RNA (tRNA) molecules are approximately 80 nucleotides in length.
Source: RNAcentral
GGUUUGUGGCUCAGCAGUAGAGCGCUCGCCUAGCACACGUGAGGCCCUGGGUUCGAUCCCCAACACCA